Molecule: ribosomal RNA, 544 nt
Filed under: uncultured bacterium
Lineage: Bacteria
Description: partial 16S ribosomal RNA
Rfam family: Bacterial small subunit ribosomal RNA
Source: RNAcentral
UGGGGAAUCUUCCGCAAUGGACGAAAGUCUGACGGAGCAACGCCGCGUGAGUGAAGAAGGUUUUCGGAUCGUAAAACUCUGUCUUUUGGGGCGAACGUGAGUAUGGUGAACAAUCAUAGUCAGUGACGGUACCAAAGGAGGAAGCCACGGCUAACUACGUGCCAGCAGCCGCGGUAAUACGUAGGUGGCAAGCGUUGUCCGGAAUUAUUGGGCGUAAAGAGCGCGUAGGCGGGAUAGUCAGUCUGUUGUAAAAGUGCGGGGCUCAACCCCGUGAUCGCAAUGGAAACAGCUAUUCUUGAGUGCAGGAGAGGAAAGUGGAAUUCCCAGUGUAGCGGUGAAAUGCGUAGAUAUUGGGAGGAACACCAGUGGCGAAGGCGACUUUCUGGACUGUGUCUGACGCUGAGGCGCGAAAGCCAGGGGAGCGAACGGGAUUAGAUACCCCGGUAGUCCUGGCCGUAAACGAUGGGUACUAGGUGUGGGAGGUAUCGACCCCUUCCGUGCCGGAGUUAACGCAAUAAGUACCCCGCCUGGGGAGUACGGUCGC